Molecule: long non-coding RNA, 272 nt
Organism: Oreochromis aureus
Lineage: Eukaryota; Metazoa; Chordata; Actinopteri; Cichliformes; Cichlidae
Exons: 3
Source: RefSeq, a predicted model, not a curated record
GGGAGAGCAGAAACGUGUAAUCACCCAAACAACCGUUUUUACCCGUUUCACCCCCUCUGGAUCUGUGUCGCAAGUCCGCCGUGAGCCUGUCUGCCUUUCACUGCGGAUAUCGUGGAGGGAGGCCGGAGCGUGAAGAAGACACCAGAGAGUUUCAGAUGAUGUCCAGUACGCCACGGCUGCUCCAGCCAAUAAACAAGGUGACUAACAAUGGAAGAGGGCCAGGAAUGAAGAGAGGGAGACAAGCUAACCACCACACCACACACAGCUAGAAU